This 211-nucleotide unclassified non-coding RNA is filed under the name soil metagenome. RNAcentral describes it as "partial contains 5.8S ribosomal RNA, internal transcribed spacer 2, and large subunit ribosomal RNA". The record is from RNAcentral.
AACCUAGCACACCUGCGGUGUGUACCUGCGGAGGGAUCAUUACCGAGUGUGGUCCCAUAUAAGGGGCGCCUCCCGUCCUUUGCAGGGCCUUUAGGGGCUUUUUGACUUUGCUUCGGCGGGCUUGCCCCGCCGGAACUCCCUCAAGAAAAUCUUUAUGAACCGUUUGUCUGAGUUGCUUGCGAAUAAAAACAAAACUUUUAACAAUGGAUCU